GGCCUACAUAAAUAGUAAACUAGUUUCUAUAUUUUUGUUAAGUAGAGACUCUUUGAUUAUGUGAAUCCACUCAUAGUUUAAUUCAUCAGAGACUAGACUUUAGACUUUGGAAUUUUGAUUUAUUGGAUAAGAAUAAUAUUAGAUAUUAAGCUCUUUAAUUGUUUUUUAUUCUCCUACUAUAAUCUGUGUUAGUCAAACACCUACUAUUAGUAUGAUAUGGAAAAAAAUCAUAUUUAAUAACUUUUUC
RNAcentral lists this long non-coding RNA (247 nucleotides) under Elaeis guineensis (African oil palm). RNAcentral describes it as "long non-coding RNA (EGUI_LNC003085)". The record is from RNAcentral. Lineage: Eukaryota; Viridiplantae; Streptophyta; Magnoliopsida; Arecales; Arecaceae.